CAACGAAUAUUCCGCAAUGGACGAAAGUCUGACGGAGCGACGCCGCGUGCAGGAAGAAGUCCCUCGGGAUGUAAACUGCUGUCAGGGGUUAGGAACACCGACCAGCCCCAAAGGAAGCACUGGCUAACUCCGUGCCAGCAGCCGCGGUAAUACGGAGAGUGCAAGCGUUGUUCGGAAUUACUGGGCUUAAAGGGCAUGUAGGCGGAAUGUCAAGUGUUGGGUGAAAGCCCCGGGCUCAACCCGGGAAUCGCCUAGCAAACUGGCGUUCUUGAGGCAGGUAGAGGUGACUGGAACAACUGGUGGAGCGGUGAAAUGCGUAGAUAUCAGUUGGAACGCCGGUGGCGAAAGCGGGUCACUGGGCCUGUCCUGACGCUGAUAUGCGAAAGCGUGGGGAGCGAACGGGAUUAGAUACCCCCGUAGUCC
RNAcentral lists this ribosomal RNA (423 nucleotides) under uncultured prokaryote. RNAcentral's name for it is "bacterial SSU rRNA". It matches the Rfam family "Bacterial small subunit ribosomal RNA", at positions 355 to 796 of the family's 1533-position model. The record is from RNAcentral.